GCGCCCGUAGCUCAACGGUUAGAGCGCCGGACUCAUAAUCCGUCGGUUGGAGGUUCGAAUCCUCCCGGGCGUA
Molecule: transfer RNA, 73 nt
Filed under: Pirellulales bacterium
Lineage: Bacteria; Pseudomonadati; Planctomycetota; Planctomycetia; Pirellulales
Description: tRNA-Ile
Rfam family: tRNA
About the family: Transfer RNA (tRNA) molecules are approximately 80 nucleotides in length. Their secondary structure includes four short double-helical elements and three loops (D, anti-codon, and T loops).
Source: RNAcentral